AGCUGUAAACCGCUUAUAAUUUUAUAAAUGACGUUCAGUUUAUUGCAAAUAAAAAUCGAUUCGCUUCAAAAGACGUUAAGGUGUGACCAGGAACUGUGGGGAUCAUGCUUGUGUUGGAUGCAUGUGCUUUUAGAACUCUAGAACGCAUAGACCCCAUUUACAUCCUGUAUAUGAAGCACAGAGAGCUGCGGAUUUACCUAAAAAUCUUCUUUAUUGUUCUACUCUAAAAUGUCACCUACAUCUUGGAUGGCCUGAGGACACCUGAGUUCAAGGCAAGCACCUUUCCUAUAAAAACACACUGGAUCCCGCUGCAGCCGAAGUCAAUGAGGUCACAAACCACUUAGAAAACGAGUGGAGAGACUAGAGAUGUUUCCAGUUUACAGAGCAGAGGGUGGGCACAGUGUCGGGCAGCAGGCUGACCUCCCACCUGCGACUCUGACCUUUGCCCCUCGCAGCUCUCGGAGAGAGCCGGAACACCUGAUGACCUGACCUCUGUGCGAGUAGCGUGACAGACUGUGGCGUUGUGAUUACGGUAGAAGCAGAAGGGAGCAGCUGAGGUCUAUUUGAUCUCUUGAGAGCAAAUGUAUAGCACAUACAUGCUUUGACUCUCAUUAAAUCUAGGCAUGGGGCGCCCUCUGCAGGUCAGAAAAAAUGAACAUCUGAAUAUGAGUAAAAAGAAUAUGAGAGGAAAAGGGUAUAGGGAGGGUAUGGCAUUUAUGAUUUAGGUUUGAAAUUAAUAAAAUAAGAUAAUGAAUGUGGGAAGAACAGGUGGAGAAAAUAAAAUAAUAAUAAUAAUAAUAUGCUUUGAUAAUAUGUUGUGCAUCUUUCAAUAACCCAAAAUUAUAAAAAUGACUACAGUACCACU
Long non-coding RNA from Triplophysa rosa, 865 nucleotides. RefSeq lists it as uncharacterized. Lineage: Eukaryota; Metazoa; Chordata; Actinopteri; Cypriniformes; Nemacheilidae. The transcript has 3 exons. The record is from RefSeq and is a predicted model, not a curated record.